Molecule: long non-coding RNA, 510 nt
Organism: Toxorhynchites rutilus septentrionalis
Lineage: Eukaryota; Metazoa; Arthropoda; Insecta; Diptera; Culicidae
Exons: 4
Source: RefSeq, a predicted model, not a curated record
CAAAAACGAGAAAAGUGAAUGGAUUAAACAAUUUGCUUGACUAACAGAAAUUCGAGGAAUAAAAUAAUGGGUUGAUUUUAAGGAUAAUAGUACCAUGUACUAUUCCUACGCAAUAGUCCGGAAUAAGUUCCAGUUGUGUUUCCUUGUGCGUAGAACCCGCGAUUAAGUGUGUGUCAAUAGCAACUUGAGUACGCCCCAGUUGUGGAAAAGCUUCUGUUGCUUUGGCUCCAAUUACCGAACCUCAAAUUUGCCGGAGUAAAACCCGUAUCUGUAUUCAACGAUUGUAUUAAACACACUCUUCGCUAAUGCUAUCAACAUCCAGGAUAUGAACAGGAAUAAAUAGGAAUGUUCAGUGAAAAUUUGAUUCAUCCACACCGGUGAACCAAAAUGUUCUCUCUGAACGGUGUAGCAUAUAAUUUGUUCAAAAGAAAAUUUGGUUCGCUCAUUAUAUAGUGCUUUUAUCUAUUAUAACUGUAGUACAGCCAUGUAUUAGUAUUGAUGUAAAUAAAC